RNAcentral lists this ribosomal RNA (258 nucleotides) under uncultured bacterium. RNAcentral describes it as "partial small subunit ribosomal RNA". It matches the Rfam family "Bacterial small subunit ribosomal RNA", at positions 26 to 285 of the family's 1533-position model. The record is from RNAcentral.
AGGACGAACGCUGGCGGCGUGCUUAACACAUGCAAGUCGAGCGGAAAGGCCCUUCGGGGGUACUCGAGCGGCGAACGGGUGAGUAACACGUGAGCAACCUGCCCUUAGCUUUGGGAUAACCCUCGGAAACGGGGGCUAAUACCGAAUGUUCACUGUCGGAUGCAUGUUUGACGGUGGAAAGUUUUUUCGGCUUAGGGAUGGGCUCGCGGCCUAUCAGCUUGUUGGUGGGGUAAUGGCCUACCAAGGCGACGACGGGUA